AAUCUAUAUAUGUCUGAUUAAAAUAAUUUAUUCAAAGUUCGUGAACAACUGUCUAUUAUAUUUGAAUAAUUAAUAUAUGAAAAUUAGACGGGAUCAAUUCGCAUCUGAUACCUGUUAUAUACGAGGACAAUGUCCAUAAUUGCUCGGGUCGUGUAUUACGCACGAGGCUCCUCGAGACUGAUCUAUGACGUACGUUUGUAAUGGAUAGUUAUCUCUGAUUGCGGCUAUUUAUAAAUAAGCCCCGCCCCUUUAUGUGUUCGCUAGCCGAAUCCGUGGGUGUUGAAACGUAAACAUUGAUUCCACAUGGUUCCACGGAUGUAUACCAACCCCAUGUAUACUAAAGAGAAAACCUUCGUAGUAGAUUGAUGAAUGGAGUGUGUGAAUGGAUUUCAUAGUAGUAACCUUUGCCCUUCCGAGUCCACAAUUGCCUUAUAUGGAGUAGAAGGACAAAUUCCGCGUGCUGACGUCAGAAUCGUUAUAGGAAGCUAGUUUGCCUUAUAUGGAAUUACGAUCGUGUAUCUCCGGUAAUUGUCGUGUUGAAGAAAACGGAAACACGUUUGCCAUAUUAGGAAUUUUUCGUGUUGGCGGAGUUUUACGAAGUUUCUAGUGGCUGUCCGGAGUUAAAUUAGAAUCAUGACGUACAUUGCCGUUCGAGCUGUUUAGAUUUGGAGCUAUUUCGGGCGAUAGCCGAGUAAAUGUAGCUGAGCGCAGACACAAAAGGAAUCAAUUUAACAAUGAGAAGUUCGUAUAUGUAUCGAAGUGGCCAAAUUUAUAUCAGAAUGACCCAUACAUAGAACGCUGGUAUUGAUCUUUGGAUAGGAGCUUUGGUGCAGAGGCCUCAGGCGGGGUUUACAGUAACGAGAUUUAACGUUCGGUAUCGUGUAUAUCACGGACUUACAUCUAAUUUAAGCCCGCGUGCAUAGUAAUGGAAAAUAUUUAUUUGAUUUCUUGGUUUUAUGAUGAUAUAUACUCGGAAUAUCACGACUCACAUAUUUCAUACUUAAAGUAUAAAAUUGUUAGAAAAAGUGGCAUGUAACAAACUUAAUAAAAAUCACAAUUUUCAUAUGAUAUGUUAUGUGUUGUGUCACAUUCAUUUUAAAACAUAUUAAGAUUUUUUAAGUCAAAAAAUAUAAUCUUUGAAUUUCUAAAUAAGGGAAUAAAUUAAAUGUAUUCGUUUAUCUCUCUUUUUUUCUCUCUUUCUCUCUCUCUUUCUCUCUCUUUACAGAUACAGAUUUCAUUAAUUUGGAUUAAGAUUCCCCCGGAAUCGCCCGAGCUCUUGCUUUGAGCACGACCAGAAAGGGGACAUGGAUCUUCUUUGUAAAGCCCCCAAACAUUCUGUAGAUAAGCAGGAUGUGGCUCUCUACCUCUACAGUGGAAACUGGCGGAUACGUUAAACCUGUGAUUCCAUUAGAGGAUCGUCAUUGAUACAAAUGUAAAUAAUUGCAUAGAGGGUGAACAACACUUUUUAAUUGAAUGUAAUGUAUAUUUAAGGAUUGAAUAAUGUUAUGUCAAUAGGUCUUGAGACAAAUUUAUUAUGAACUGCGAAGCAGUUCAUAAUAAAUUUGUC
Pecten maximus is the source of this 1567-nucleotide long non-coding RNA. RefSeq lists it as uncharacterized. The transcript has 3 exons. Lineage: Eukaryota; Metazoa; Mollusca; Bivalvia; Pectinida; Pectinidae. The record is from RefSeq and is a predicted model, not a curated record.